ACCUGGCUGGCUCAGUGGAUAGAGCAUAGGACUGUUGAUCUUGGGGUUGUGGGUUCGAGCUCCACUUUAGGUG
This 73-nucleotide transfer RNA is filed under the name Canis lupus familiaris (dog). It matches the Rfam family "tRNA". From Rfam's summary of the family: Transfer RNA (tRNA) molecules are approximately 80 nucleotides in length. Their secondary structure includes four short double-helical elements and three loops (D, anti-codon, and T loops). Further hydrogen bonds mediate the characteristic L-shaped molecular structure. tRNAs have two regions of fundamental functional importance: the anti-codon, which is responsible for specific mRNA codon recognition, and the 3' end, to which the tRNAs corresponding amino acid is attached (by aminoacyl-tRNA synthetases). tRNAs cope with the degeneracy of the genetic code in two manners: having more than one tRNA (with a specific anti-codon) for a particular amino acid; and 'wobble' base-pairing, i.e. permitting non-standard base-pairing at the 3rd anti-codon position. Lineage: Eukaryota; Metazoa; Chordata; Mammalia; Carnivora; Canidae. The record is from Rfam by way of RNAcentral.